This 521-nucleotide ribosomal RNA is filed under the name Phoma herbarum. RNAcentral describes it as "eukaryotic LSU rRNA". The stretch from base 174 to 327 matches the Rfam family "5.8S ribosomal RNA". Lineage: Eukaryota; Fungi; Ascomycota; Dothideomycetes; Pleosporales; Didymellaceae. The record is from RNAcentral.
CUUCCGUAGGUGAACCUGCGGAAGGAUCAUUACCUAGAGUUGUAGGCUUUGCCUGCUAUCUCUUACCCAUGUCUUUUGAGUACCUUACGUUUCCUCGGUGGGUUCGCCCACCGAUUGGACAAACUUAAACCCUUUGCAGUUGAAAUCAGCGUCUGAAAAAACUUAAUAGUUACAACUUUCAACAACGGAUCUCUUGGUUCUGGCAUCGAUGAAGAACGCAGCGAAAUGCGAUAAGUAGUGUGAAUUGCAGAAUUCAGUGAAUCAUCGAAUCUUUGAACGCACAUUGCGCCCCUUGGUAUUCCAUGGGGCAUGCCUGUUCGAGCGUCAUUUGUACCUUCAAGCUCUGCUUGGUGUUGGGUGUUUGUCUCCUGUAGACUCGCCUUAAAACAAUUGGCAGCCGGCGUAUUGAUUUCGGAGCGCAGUACAUCUCGCGCUUUGCACUCAUAACGACGACAUCCAAAAGUACAUUUUUACACUCUUGACCUCGGAUCAGGUAGGGAUACCCGCUGAACUUAAGCAUA